ACCGAUUCACUUCAAUAUCUUAACAUAAUCGGCAUGAGGAAAUCCGACUAUGUUAUUUAAAGACUGAAAAGCUUACAUGGGAUGGCAAGGAAGAAGAAACUGUCCCUUGUGGCCCAAACUGUUACUUUCAGUUUUAAUGACACCAGAGUGAUCCGGAGGAUCACCAAGAUCAACUGAGAGCUGCUUGACGGCCCGUG
Long non-coding RNA from Cynara cardunculus var. scolymus (artichoke), 197 nucleotides. RefSeq lists it as uncharacterized. NCBI's taxonomy places the organism in Eukaryota, Viridiplantae, Streptophyta, Magnoliopsida, Asterales, Asteraceae. The record is from RefSeq and is a predicted model, not a curated record. The transcript is spliced from 3 exons.